Molecule: transfer RNA, 77 nt
Filed under: Klebsiella pneumoniae
Lineage: Bacteria; Pseudomonadati; Pseudomonadota; Gammaproteobacteria; Enterobacterales; Enterobacteriaceae
Description: tRNA-Lys(ttt)
Rfam family: tRNA
About the family: Transfer RNA (tRNA) molecules are approximately 80 nucleotides in length. Their secondary structure includes four short double-helical elements and three loops (D, anti-codon, and T loops).
Source: RNAcentral
GGGUCGUUAGCUCAGUUGGUAGAGCAGUUGACUUUUAAUCAAUUGGUCGGCAGGUUCGAAUCCUGCACGACCCACCA